Molecule: unclassified non-coding RNA, 324 nt
Filed under: soil metagenome
Description: partial contains 5.8S ribosomal RNA, internal transcribed spacer 2, and large subunit ribosomal RNA
Rfam family: 5.8S ribosomal RNA (bases 1-120)
Source: RNAcentral
GAUGAAGAACGUAGCAAAAUGCGAUAAGUAAUGUGAAUUGCAGAAUUCAGUGAAUCAUCGAAUCUUUGAACGCACAUUGCGCCCUGUGGUAUUCCGCAGGGCAUGCCUGUUCGAGCGUCAUUUCAACCCUCAAGCCCCGCUUGGUGUUGGGCCCCGCCCGCUGUGGCCGGCCCUAAAGACAGUGGCGGCGCCGCCUGGCCCUCAGCGUAGUACAUCUCUCGCUCCAGGGUCCGGUGGCCGCCUGCCAGAACCCCCCAACUCUGUGGUUGACCUCGGAUCAGGUAGGGAUACCCGCUGAACUUAAGCAUAUCAAUAAGCGGAGGA